GGAUAAUAAAAAUCAUCAUCUUCAGUUUGGAACAGACCA
This 39-nucleotide unclassified non-coding RNA is filed under the name Candidatus Phytoplasma fraxini. Its description in RNAcentral is "partial 16S-23S ribosomal RNA intergenic spacer". The record is from RNAcentral. Lineage: Bacteria; Bacillati; Mycoplasmatota; Mollicutes; Acholeplasmatales; Acholeplasmataceae.